GAUGAACGCUAGCGACAGGCUUAACACAUGCAAGUCGAGGGGCAGCAAGAAUUGUAGCAAUAAAGAAGAUGGCGACCGGCGCACGGGUGAGUAACACGUAUCCAAUCUGCCUUUUACUCGGGGAUAGCCUUUCGAAAGAAAGAUUAAUACCCGAUGGUAUAUGAUUACUGCAUGGUAAUUAUAUUAAAGAAUUUCGGUAAAAGAUGAGGAUGCGUUCCAUUAGAUAGUUGGUAGGGUAACGGCUUACCAAGUCUACGAUGGAUAGGGGUUCUG
This 273-nucleotide ribosomal RNA is filed under the name uncultured bacterium. RNAcentral describes it as "partial 16S ribosomal RNA". It matches the Rfam family "Bacterial small subunit ribosomal RNA", at positions 28 to 294 of the family's 1533-position model. The record is from RNAcentral.